Molecule: ribosomal RNA, 255 nt
Filed under: uncultured bacterium
Lineage: Bacteria
Description: partial 16S ribosomal RNA
Rfam family: Bacterial small subunit ribosomal RNA
Source: RNAcentral
UACGUAGGGCGCAAGCGUUAUCCGGAAUUAUUGGGCGUAAAGAGCUCGUAGGCGGUUUGUCGCGUCUGCCGUGAAAGUCCGGGGCUCAACUCCGGAUCUGCGGUGGGUACGGGCAGACUAGGAGUGGAUGUAGGGGAGACUGGAAUUCCUGGUGUAGCGGUGAAAUGCGCAGAUAUCAGGAGGAACACCGAUGGCGAAGGCAGGUCUCUGGGCAUUAACUGACGCUGAGGAGCGAAAGCAUGGGGAGCGAACAGG